Danio rerio (zebrafish) is the source of this 636-nucleotide non-coding RNA. The record is from Ensembl. Lineage: Eukaryota; Metazoa; Chordata; Actinopteri; Cypriniformes; Danionidae.
AGAGUUUGUUGUUGACAACUACCGGUAGCGCUACGACUUUUUCAAGGCGUUCCGAUUUGCGUGCUCUAAUCCACGUCGUAUCCGUAUAAACUCGUGAAAGAGAAAGCAAAAAAUCUCCUACUAAUUCUGUCCACAUUCUGAAGUGUUCAUCAGAUGGGUACAUCUCUCACAGGAGGCCACGACAAACCAUACGGCAAGAUGAUGAUGCUACGUCACAUUGUGGAAAACUGAAUGAUUUAGACAUCUUACAUGUAAGACUUGCAAGGCAAGAAAACAGAGAAAACCUGAAUUCAAAACAUGAAACUGGUGUGUGCAGUGAUGAUGAUAAAGAACAGCAGUGUGCUGAUGAAGGAAAUGUUGAAGAUGCUGUAGUGCCGUGGACAAGACCCUGCAUCCCUCCACCUGCCUGGGUGUCCUUAUCUGAGCCAGAUGUUGGUGUGGUCUCUUCAUCUUUAGUAUGAAUCGGUUUCUCAGGCAUGGACAGCCUUACCUCACAACUCUGUUCCAGUCUGACUGCAGCACUGAGGGAUGUGAUGGCAAAAACAAUUGAAGUCCAGCAUGCAGCAGAACAUGGGGUUUUGUCUGAAAUACAUGAUUGUUUGAAUAAGUUUGAAUAAAGCUUAGUUUUGUAUCUUG